AAGUCGUAACAAUUAACACGUAUCCAAACGUUAACCCCCCUGUGAACCUUUAGUGUGCUCGUACGCUUUGUCAGAGCGUGGCAAUCCCUAGUAAAUCAUCGCCGAAUGUGCUCGCAGCGCGAGGCAUUUCGAAGCAGUUGGUGUCUGAAAGUGUCACGAUCGUUGGAGGCCGACACGGCCGAUGACCGGGUCACCGGGCUCACGCCCCUUAAUUACAACUUAAUGCAUGUCAGACGCGCCUCCGCUUAAUUGUGCGGCGACCAUAAAACUCGAACAACUGUUAACAAUGGAUAUCUUGGUUCUC
This 304-nucleotide unclassified non-coding RNA is filed under the name fungal sp. RNAcentral describes it as "partial internal transcribed spacer region". The record is from RNAcentral. Lineage: Eukaryota; Fungi.